Molecule: long non-coding RNA, 375 nt
Organism: Cebus imitator (Panamanian white-faced capuchin)
Lineage: Eukaryota; Metazoa; Chordata; Mammalia; Primates; Cebidae
Exons: 2
Source: RefSeq, a predicted model, not a curated record
AAUAGCGAAGGCGUGGGACACGAGGAUGGCGUGGGCGGCAGGAAACACGCACCCCUUAGAAGUCAGAACUGGAGCCAAGAGUCCCUGGGAAAAAAUAUGAUAAAACUGAUCCUUGGAGAAAAUGCUCAUUACUAUAAUACCUCAUGAAAUGACAUCACAUUUCUGGAACAGCCUUGCACACUCAUGACUCUCUUUCUGUGGAUCAAGUUUCCCCUCUACCAGAAAUGUCCUUUCACCAUCAGCCUUGGUGACUUUGUUCCUGAUCAGCUCAAAGAGUACAUUCUUCUCUAUCCAAGACAUAAUCACUUCCUCUCAGCACAGCACUAUAAUCUGCACAUACUUGUAUUACAUAACUUAAAUAAAUAACUGAAUAAA